UCGAGGAUCUUUAGCAAUGGGCGCAAGCCUGACUAUGCGACGCCGCGUGAGGGAUGAAGGUUUUCGGAUCGUAAACCUCUUUCGAUGGGAAAGAAAAUACUUGACACGAAUAGUGUCAAGUACUGACGGUACCCAGAGAAGAAGCCACGGCCAACUCCGUGCCAGCAGCCGCGGUAAUACGGAGGUGGCGAGCGUUACUCGGAUUCAUUGGGUGUAAAGGGCAGGUAGGCGGCUAUACAUGUCGAGGGUGAAAUACUUGAGCUUAACUCAAGAACUGCCUUCGAAACUGUAUGGCUUGAGGCCAGAAGAGGAGAACGGAAUUCCCGGUGUAAGGGUGAAAUCUGUAGAUAUCGGGAGGAACACCAGUAGCGAAAGCGGUUCUCUGGUCUGGCCCUGACGC
This 400-nucleotide ribosomal RNA is filed under the name uncultured bacterium. RNAcentral's name for it is "bacterial SSU rRNA". It matches the Rfam family "Bacterial small subunit ribosomal RNA", at positions 355 to 746 of the family's 1533-position model. The record is from RNAcentral.